CCCCCCACCGCCGUGUGCCUGCUCUGUCCCCGGGGCCCCAGUUCACCUCUCAGCCGCCGCCUCCUCAGGGAAGCCCUCCCUGAUACACACUCUCGUCCCUCCACAUGUCUCGCUUUUGAAGCACCGUAUGCUCACGUCAUGAACUUCGUCUCUCCCGGGAGUCUGUGGGCUCCUGGUUGGGCCAGGGCCUGCCCCGCCUGGCCACUGCCACCGCCACUGCCUGGCACACGCCUUGUGAGCCGGGGCAGGUCACUUACCUCUUUGAGACUCAGUUUCCUCAUCGGUAACAUGAAUACGAGGUUCACAGGCCGCUGGGAUGGAUACCUGCCUGCCCACCACCCAUCCUCUCUUCCGGGAUCUGCACACUGAUUCUUCCUCGGGGACCAUCCUCCCGCCUCCUGCAGUCGGUGAAGUUUGAGAGAGAACCCUUCCCCCAGCUGUCUCAAGGGCACAGGACCCAGGCGUGGCCAAUCAAAGAACGCCACCCCCUGGUCUUAUGAUUGGUUCAGGAACGUGCAUGUAACCCAAGUGCAAUCAGUGAUAAUGAGCUCUGGAACUUGUGCUUGAGCUGUUGGGAAAGAGUUAUUUUGGUCUGUUCAUGGGGUUAUUUGUGUUUGUGUGUUUGGGGGUGGGAGUGAGGGAGUUUCUGCUACGGUUCUGAGAGAAUAAGAUAGCUCUGGAACUGCCCAGAGUCCUUCAAAUAGAGCCUGCUUGAAGACGAAAGCAGAGUCAGGAGAAGCCAAGUCCUAAUGACAUUAUUUGAGCACCUGGAUCCAGCUAUGCCUGAAGGCGGAAUUGAGCUUUUUGGUGCCUAGCACAUAAUAAGUAUGAUACAAAUAGUGGCUGUUAUUAGCAGCAUAGAGUCUGGUAGACAGUAGGUGCUUGGCAAUGUUAGUUCCUUUCUCCUUUCACUCCCAUGCCCCUGAAAACAUUGUAGAAUUACUGCCAUCCCUCUUUCUGCCGAUUACAAAUGCUUCACAGUGCAUCGUGGGGCCCCGUUCAGGGCAUGAGCAAAAUGUGUUAAUGACGGAACGUCUGUCAGAGCAUUUUCCCAUCAAGCUGUUCUUCUUCCCCCACUGAAGACACUCAGGGGACAAGACAGAUGCUGAAAAUAAUGAGGCCCAGAGCUGCCAUGAUCUCUGCCUGGCAAAUUCACAGCUUCCAGACAUUCAGGCCCUGGGACAGCCUCGGGGUGGGGAGAAGGGGGAUAGGGAACCUCAGAGGUAUUCGGGUGCUGACACGUCUCCAUCGCGCCAACAGUGGGUGCUAGGGACCGAGAGCUGAGGGCACGCCCCAAUCUGCGGGGGUAGUCGGGCUAUGAGUGCAUUUAGUGUAUGCCUGCUGGAUGCUCGGAUGCUGGGGGUACCGU
This 1369-nucleotide long non-coding RNA is filed under the name Felis catus (domestic cat). Its description in RNAcentral is "lncRNA (ENSFCAG00000049307.1)". The record is from RNAcentral. Lineage: Eukaryota; Metazoa; Chordata; Mammalia; Carnivora; Felidae.